AGAGUUUGAUCCUGGCUCAGGACGAACGCUGGCGGCGUGCCUAAUACAUGCAAGUCGAGCGAGCGGAACUAACAGAUUUACUUCGGUAAUGACGUUAGGAAAGCGAGCGGCGGAUGGGUGAGUAACACGUGGGGAACCUGCCCCAUAGUCUGGGAUACCACUUGGAAACAGGUGCUAAUACCGGAUAAGAAAGCAGAUCGCAUGAUCAGCUUUUAAAAGGCGGCGUAAGCUGUCGCUAUGGGAUGGCCCCGCGGUGCAUUAGCUAGUUGGUAAGGUAAAGGCUUACCAAGGCGAUGAUGCAUAGCCGAGUUGAGAGACUGAUCGGCCACAUUGGGACUGAGACACGGCCCAAACUCCUACGGGAGGCAGCAGUAGGGAAUCUUCCACAAUGGACGCAAGUCUGAUGGAGCAACGCCGCGUGAGUGAAGAAGGUUUUCGGAUCGUAAAGCUCUGUUGUUGGUGAAGAAGGAUAGAGGUAGUAACUGGCCUUUAUUUGACGGUAAUCAACCAGAAAGUCACGGCUAACUACGUGCCAGCAGCCGCGGUAAU
RNAcentral lists this ribosomal RNA (549 nucleotides) under Cutibacterium avidum. RNAcentral's name for it is "bacterial SSU rRNA". It matches the Rfam family "Bacterial small subunit ribosomal RNA", at positions 8 to 524 of the family's 1533-position model. Lineage: Bacteria; Bacillati; Actinomycetota; Actinomycetes; Propionibacteriales; Propionibacteriaceae. The record is from RNAcentral.